Long non-coding RNA from Felis catus (domestic cat), 493 nucleotides. RefSeq lists it as uncharacterized. The record is from RefSeq and is a predicted model, not a curated record. Lineage: Eukaryota; Metazoa; Chordata; Mammalia; Carnivora; Felidae. The transcript has 4 exons.
CAGGAAACCAGUAACGUUCACCAUAACCGUUAUUUAAAAUUUAUUAAUAAAAGGAGUCAGUGGAAUCUGUUCUCAAACUCUUCAACUGUGUGUCCUCAUGGCAGUGGUAACAGACAGCUGCUAUACUAAAGAUGAGGUGACUUCUUUGGAAAGACCAAAUUAGAUACAAUAUGGAUGGACACUUGUUCCAUCAACUGUUACCUUUGUACUCUUGGGCAAGUUUAAUCUCUCUGGGCCUGUCUCCCCAUCUAUAAAAACAGUGAACCCUACUUCUUUUCCUCCUUUGACUCUACAACCUGAACCAAGUCUGCCCUCUUAAGGUCAUGAUCUCCCGGUUCGUCAGUGCAAGCCCUGCCUCAGGGUUCCAUGCUCACAGUGUGGAGCCUGCUUGUGAUUCUCUUUCCCCCUCCCCUGCUGGUGCACGCACCAUGCACCCACCGUGCACUCUUCUCUCCCUCUCUCUCAAAAUAAAUACACCAACUUAAAAAAAGAA